CUUGAAUUGGCUUGGCUGGGGAAUAAGUGAGCCCACAUAGGGGAAGAUGGCACACAGUGUGCUCGACAAACGGUGCUAGGUCCAUGCCCAGGAUCCAAGUCUGAGAACCCUGGGGCCUCUGAAGCCGAGUGUGUGAACUUCACCACUACACUACCAGUGUCAUGAAAUUUCUCGAAGAAUUCCGUUAAUGUUAAAGGUUUUUUGCCCGUGUCACUUCUUCUGAGACAUCUUCAACCUUUCAUCACAACCACUUUCUUUAUUUAUGUUGGUAAGUUCAUCUUCACUAAAUUUCCCUGGCAGCACAUCUGGAAUGUCUCAAACAGCUGC
RNAcentral lists this long non-coding RNA (327 nucleotides) under Equus asinus (donkey). Its description in RNAcentral is "lncRNA (ENSEASG00005028495.1)". Lineage: Eukaryota; Metazoa; Chordata; Mammalia; Perissodactyla; Equidae. The record is from RNAcentral.